This 253-nucleotide ribosomal RNA is filed under the name uncultured bacterium. Its description in RNAcentral is "partial 16S ribosomal RNA". It matches the Rfam family "Bacterial small subunit ribosomal RNA", at positions 524 to 776 of the family's 1533-position model. The record is from RNAcentral.
UACGUAGGGUGCGAGCGUUGUCCGGAAUUACUGGGCGUAAAGAGCUCGUAGGUGGUUUGUCGCGUUGUUCGUGAAAUGCCACAGCUUAACUGUGGGCGUGCGGGCGAUACGGGCAGACUGGAGUACUGCAGGGGAGACUGGAAUUCCUGGUGUAGCGGUGGAAUGCGCAGAUAUCAGGAGGAACACCGGUGGCGAAGGCGAGUCCCUGGACAAUACCUGACACUGAGGCACGAAAGCUAGGGGAGCAAACAGG